UAAAAUUAUGUUGAUUUUUUUGUUUUUAUAUUAUAUUCAUUUCUGAAUAUAUUUUCUCUAUUUCUCUAUGCAGUGAACCAUCCCCAGAAAAGAAAGAGAAAAAAGAAGUUCAGGAAAACUAACCAGUACAUAAUAAACGAAGGCAACAGUGGGUGGAAAGUUCCAUACUCAUAGUCCAACACCCUGCUAAGAAGAUAGUGAGGUGUAUUUUCUCAUCUAUUCUUUAGGGCCAACCUUAGUCAUUAUAAUCAUCCAGUGUACAAUGUUAGAAAUUGUUGUUUUUGUUGUUGAUGCCAUUCUUUCCAUUUAGAUUAUUGAAGGCAUUGUAUAUAUCAUUUUCCUGGAUCUGCAGACUACAUAUCAGUUCAUGCCUUCCCUUGCUUCUAUGUAUAGCAUAAGCUCUGCUUCUGUCUUUCUGAAAUCUAGGGAUAAGAAGAGAGACAAGGCAAGGUGGAGAGUAUCUUUCUAAUGUCAUAGCUCAUGAGCCCCUACUAGUCUACUUCAUCCACUGAUAAUCACUUGAUAGCAAUUAGUCAGCCAAGUAGUAUAUUAAGUGUAGUUGGAUUAAAAAUUGUCCAGAAGAAAGUGGAGUCAUGCAUAGAGUACACAUGUAUCAAAAGGGCAAUUCAUACUUCCUGGCUGUUGGAUGUCAAAACUCUUCUCCUCAUUGUGUUGGCACUCAGGAAACUCCACUAGACAUGGUACACUUAUUCAAGUGGACUGCUUGUAGAAUCUUGAAGCUACCUUCCUCAGCAUGUCUAAUUUGCCCUCAGCUUUUGAAGAGAACUCUGUUGCCAUCACUGCUCUUCCAGGGAAACUGCUACAAAGGAAAUGAAAAAGUUCAAAUCCCUCUGUCCUAUGAAGUUCACAAGGUCCUCUUCUGGCCAAGCUGCUGGAAACUGCCAUGGGGGAGACUGCCCUUUGCUCGUAAAGUCCAGGGACAAGGAGAAGAGGUAAAAAUAGCGGCGAGCGAGGCCCAAGGCGGGGCGAGGCUGGAGGUGCGGGCUUGACUGACCGCACGGUCAAGAACACCGGUUGUCAUCCCCGAGGGAGGAAGGCGAGGCGUGGGAGAGCUUGUGUUACCUGGGAUGGCUUCAGGAGAGCUAAGUCAGAUCCACAGCGCCCCGAGAAGUUUGCACCGAGCGUUCAGCUGGUCUUCUGAUGGCCUGGUUUAUGGAGUCAGCCUGGUGGAGGACAGAAAAAGAGUUUCUGGUGACGGCGAGGAAUAAACUUUCUCAUGGCCUGCA
RNAcentral lists this long non-coding RNA (1247 nucleotides) under Monodelphis domestica (gray short-tailed opossum). Its description in RNAcentral is "lncRNA (ENSMODG00000041684.1)". Lineage: Eukaryota; Metazoa; Chordata; Mammalia; Didelphimorphia; Didelphidae. The record is from RNAcentral.